RNAcentral lists this ribosomal RNA (1018 nucleotides) under uncultured Pelagibacterales bacterium. Its description in RNAcentral is "bacterial SSU rRNA". It matches the Rfam family "Bacterial small subunit ribosomal RNA", at positions 411 to 1445 of the family's 1533-position model. The record is from RNAcentral. Lineage: Bacteria; Pseudomonadati; Pseudomonadota; Alphaproteobacteria; Candidatus Pelagibacterales.
AAGCCCCUUGGGUGUAAAAGCUCUUCCGCCGGGGAAGAAAAUGACUGUACCCGAAUAGGAAGGUCCGGCUAACUUCGUGCCAGCAGCCGCGGUAAUACGAAGGGACCUAGCGUAGUUCGGAAUUACUGGGCUUAAAGAGUUCGUAGGUGGUUAAAAUAGUUGGUGGUGAAAUCCCAGAGCUUAACUCUGGAACUGCCAUCAAGACUUUUUAGCUAGAGUAUGAUAGAGGAAAGCAGAAUUUCUAGUGUAGAGGUGAAAUUCGUAGAUAUUAGAAAGAAUACCAAUUGCGAAGGCAGCUUUCUGGAUCAUUACUGACACUGAGGAACGAAAGCAUGGGUAGCGAAGAGGAUUAGAUACCCUCGUAGUCCAUGCCGUAAACGAUGUGUGCUAGACGUUGGAGAUUUUAUUUUCAGUGUCGCAGCAAAAGCAUUAAGCACACCGCCUGGGGAGUACGACCGCAAGGUUAAAACUCAAAUGAAUUGACGGGGACCCGCACAAGUAGUGGAGCAUGUGGUUUAAUUCGAAGAUACGCGCAGAACCUUACCAACACUUGACAUGUUCGUCGCGACUUUAAGAGAUUAAAGUUUUCGGUUCGGCCGGACGAAACACAGGUGCUGCAUGGCUGUCGUCAGCUCGUGUCGUGAGAUGUUGGGUUAAGUCCCGCAACGAGCGCAACCCUCACUUUUAGUUGCCAUCAUUUAGUUGGGCACUCUAAAAGAACUGCCAGUGAUAAGCUGGAGGAAGGUGGGGAUGACGUCAAGUCCUCAUGGCCCUUACGUGUUGGGCUACACACGUGCUACAAUGGCAUUUACAGUAGGAAGCAAGAAGGCGACUUUUAGCAAAUCCUAAAAAGAUGUCUCAGUUCGGAUUGUACUCUGCAACUCGAGUACAUGAAGCUGGAAUUACUAGUAAUCGCGGAUCAGCGCGCCGCGGUGAAUACGUUCCCGGGUCUUGUACACACCGCCCGUCACACCAUGGGAGUUGGUUCUACCUUAAGGCAAAGCAUAAAACCUUGACC